RNAcentral lists this transfer RNA (87 nucleotides) under Xanthomonas translucens. Its description in RNAcentral is "tRNA-Leu". It matches the Rfam family "tRNA". From Rfam's summary of the family: Transfer RNA (tRNA) molecules are approximately 80 nucleotides in length. Their secondary structure includes four short double-helical elements and three loops (D, anti-codon, and T loops). The record is from RNAcentral. Lineage: Bacteria; Pseudomonadati; Pseudomonadota; Gammaproteobacteria; Lysobacterales; Lysobacteraceae. RNAcentral also lists the same sequence under 74 other names.
GCCCGGAUGGCGAAACUGGUAGACGCAUCGGACUUAAAAUCCGCCGGGGGCGACCCCAUGCCGGUUCGAUUCCGGCUCCGGGCACCA